Molecule: non-coding RNA, 30 nt
Filed under: Mus musculus (house mouse)
Lineage: Eukaryota; Metazoa; Chordata; Mammalia; Rodentia; Muridae
Source: RNAcentral
UGUGAGUCAAGCUGGAAACAAAUGGUGUCU